Non-coding RNA from Peromyscus maniculatus bairdii (prairie deer mouse), 759 nucleotides. Lineage: Eukaryota; Metazoa; Chordata; Mammalia; Rodentia; Cricetidae. The record is from RefSeq and is a predicted model, not a curated record.
ACAGAGCAUAUUUACUCUAAUCCCGGAGGUAUGCAGCUCCAUGUCAGAUCAGCUGGCUUGCCUGGUCCUCCUACCCCCCUCCUUAGCAACAGUUUAAAUUUCAAACUAAUUCCCCAGUUUGUUCUUCGUCUUCGCGGGCUGGAUGGAGACAGCCCGGCCUGCCGGUCUCAAAUCCCUCUCUAUUGCUCUUGCCACCACUGGGUGGGUCAGCCCGGUCUGCAGUUGCAAGUUGGGUGACAGCUGGCUCUCCCUCCAAUACUCUUCUGCACGUCUCCAAAACCUGGAGCAAGGGGAGCUGCAGCCACCCACAAAGUGAGAGGCAAUGGACAGUGGGGUAUAGUGCCACCUCCUAAUCCAGUGGGGAAGGAUCCCCUCUGUUAAGGAGGGCGAGAGGAUCAAGGUUGAAGGUGUCGCAGUACCACCCCACCCCCACGCCGCGUACCUUUCUGGCGCCACGCUCUGCGAACUCCCGAGCGAGGUGGCGCCCGAUGCCUCUCCCACCGCCGGUGAUGAGGACUGACUCCCGGGACAGGUCCCGAAGCUUGGGGGGCAACACCAGUCCCACGGCUGCUUUGGUCAUCAGAUAGAUCAUUUGCAGAGGGAACACUACCAGCGCGCCCAGCCAUUUCCACACCAUCCUCUGCGCGGCGGAGCCGGGCACGGGGUGGGGGGAGGAGGUAGGAGGCGGUGGACGAAACUCUCCGGACUAAGCAAAACAGAAAUUAAAAAAAAAAAAAAAGAAAAAGAAAACACCCCAAA